AUGUAUCCACUGGCAUGGGCAGUUGUUGAGAGGGAAACAAAUGAUACAUGGAAGUGGUUUAUUGCCCUGCUUAUUAAAGAUCUUGACAUUAAUGACAAUGGAGCUGGCUGGGUGUUCAUUUCAGAUCAGCAGAAG
RNAcentral lists this ribosomal RNA (135 nucleotides) under Triticum aestivum (bread wheat). Its description in RNAcentral is "partial small subunit ribosomal RNA". Lineage: Eukaryota; Viridiplantae; Streptophyta; Magnoliopsida; Poales; Poaceae. The record is from RNAcentral.